UAGGGAAUCUUCCACAAUGGACGCAAGUCUGAUGGAGCAACGCCGCGUGAGUGAAGAAGGUUUUCGGAUCGUAAAGCUCUGUUGUUGGUGAAGAAGGAUAGAGGUAGUAACUGGCCUUUAUUUGACGGUAAUCAACCAGAAAGUCACGGCUAACUACGUGCCAGCAGCCGCGGUAAUACGUAGGUGGCAAGCGUUGUCCGGAUUUAUUGGGCGUAAAGGGAACGCAGGCGGUCCUUUAAGUCUGAUGUGAAAGCCUUCGGCUUAACCGAAGAAUUGCAUUGGAAACUGGAGGACUUGAGUGCAGAAGAGGAGAGUGGAACUCCAUGUGUAGCGGUGGAAUGCGUAGAUAUAUGGAAGAACACCAGUGGCGAAGGCGGCUCUCUGGUCUGCAACUGACGCUGAGGCUCGAAAGCAUGGGUAGCGAACAG
This 428-nucleotide ribosomal RNA is filed under the name uncultured bacterium. RNAcentral's name for it is "bacterial SSU rRNA". It matches the Rfam family "Bacterial small subunit ribosomal RNA", at positions 355 to 775 of the family's 1533-position model. The record is from RNAcentral.